AAAGUAAUACAGUGGUAGUAUCACAGCCAAUGAGGUUAAUCUGAGGUGUGAUUAUUGCUAGUUGAAAUCUUUCAUUGUUAUCAUAUAUCCCACUCACUUAUAGAGCUGGCUGGAAAACGAGGAUUAAACUUCAUGAAAAAUGUUGAGGGUUUGAAAUUUGUUUUCAUUCCACAUUGGAA
RNAcentral lists this small nuclear RNA (179 nucleotides) under Chrysemys picta bellii (western painted turtle). RNAcentral's name for it is "U4 spliceosomal RNA (ENSCPBG00000021305.1)". It matches the Rfam family "U4 spliceosomal RNA". Rfam says of the family: U4 small nuclear RNA (U4 snRNA) is a component of the major U2-dependent spliceosome. The structure of U4 snRNA from yeast and human has been reported. U4 snRNA presents a k-turn RNA motif in the 5p-SL related to recognition of Snu13 protein. Lineage: Eukaryota; Metazoa; Chordata; Testudines; Emydidae. The record is from Rfam by way of RNAcentral.